AUUGAACGCUGGCGGCAUGCUUUACACAUGCAAGUCGGACGGCAGCGGGGUAGUGCUUGCACUACUGCCGGCGAGUGGCGAACGGGUGAGUAAUAUAUUGGAACGUACCGAGUAAUGGGGGAUAACCAAUCGAAAGAUUGGCUAAUACCGCAUACGCCCUGAGGAGGAAAGCAGGGGACCUUCGGGCCUUGCGUUAUUCGGGCGGCCAGUAUCUGAUUAGCUAGUUGGGGGGGUAAGGGCCUACCAAGGCGACGAUCAGUAGCGGGUCUGAGAGGAUGAUCCGCCACACUGGGACUGAGACACGGCCCAGACUCCUACGGGAGGCAGCAGUGGGGAAUUUUGGACAAUGGGCGCAAGCCUGAUCCAGCCAUGCCGCGUGUCUUAAGAAGGCCUUCGGGUUGUAAAGGACUUUUGUUAGGGAAGAAAAAGGAGCGGUUAAUACCCGUUUCUGCUGACGGUACCUAAAGAAUAAGCACCGGCUAACUACGUG
This 490-nucleotide ribosomal RNA is filed under the name uncultured bacterium. RNAcentral describes it as "partial 16S ribosomal RNA". It matches the Rfam family "Bacterial small subunit ribosomal RNA", at positions 30 to 507 of the family's 1533-position model. The record is from RNAcentral.